CUGGAGUGAAAACUUUUUCAUCUAGAUAACACCCAUGAGACUGAAGUAGAAGUAAUUCUUCAUGGACAUCAUGAAAGGAAGCUGCUAUAGACAUAAAAGGAGAAAUAAUAAUUUCCAUCUAUUUCAUGCCUAACAUACGCUACAAUUUGGAGCCAUUUCACCUAAUCUUCACAAACAGUCCUUCAAGCCCUAGAUCCCUCCUUAACUGAAAUCUCACUCCACAAGGCUCCCCAGCCACGCGUGAAUCCCAUAGAGGAAAACACUGAUUGCAAACUCC
Molecule: long non-coding RNA, 277 nt
Filed under: Chinchilla lanigera (long-tailed chinchilla)
Lineage: Eukaryota; Metazoa; Chordata; Mammalia; Rodentia; Chinchillidae
Description: lncRNA (ENSCLAG00000023200.1)
Source: RNAcentral